GUGUCAGCAGCCGCGGUAAUACAGAGGGGGCAAGCGUUAUUCGGAAUUAUUGGGCGUAAAGGGCGCGUAGGCGGCCUGACAAGUGGAUGGUGAAAUCCCUCGGCUUAACCGAGGAACUGCCAUCCAGACUGUUUGGCUUGAGACCGGGAGAGGUGAGUGGAAUUCCCAGUGUAGCGGUGAAAUGCGUAGAUAUUGGGAGGAACACCAGUGGCGAAGGCGGCUCACUGGACCGGUACUGACGCUGAGGCGCGAAAGCGUGGGGAGCAAACGGGAUUAGAUACCCCCGUAGUCC
Molecule: ribosomal RNA, 292 nt
Filed under: uncultured bacterium
Lineage: Bacteria
Description: partial 16S ribosomal RNA
Rfam family: Bacterial small subunit ribosomal RNA
Source: RNAcentral